AUGGGUCUUAGUGCAUUCUCUCAUACACUCAUCCUUCUAGGUUCACUCUCAAUAUUCAUAGUGAGCCCUUCCUAUGGUUUUAAUCCAAGGAAGCUUGUUAAUGUAACUUCAUACUCCUCACCUGAUCAGAUUGGUCACCAUCUGUGGCCACUUGGUAUGGAUCUCCCGACGGGCGACGGAAGCGAAGGCGGUGCUUGCUGUGGCUCUUGCUAUGAGGUUAGGUGCACAGGAAAUUCUGCAUGUUCAGGAAACCCUGUGAGAGUAGUUAUCACUGAUGAGUGUGCUGGUUGUGGCUCAGAUGCUCAAUAUCAUUUUGAUUUGAGUGGCACUUCUUUUGGCUCCAUGGCUAUUUCAGGUCUAGAUCAAGAGCUACGUAAUGCUGGAAAAAUAAACAUGGAACAUAGAAGAGUUGAAUGCAACUAUGCAGGUAGAUCAAUAGCUUUCCACGUGGACUCUGGAUCAAACCAUGAAUAUUUUGCAACAUUGAUUGAAUAUGAGGAAGGAGAUGGUGAUCUUAACAAAGUUGAAGUGAAGGAAGCAUU
This is a non-coding RNA of Vicia faba (fava bean), 542 nucleotides long. NCBI's taxonomy places the organism in Eukaryota, Viridiplantae, Streptophyta, Magnoliopsida, Fabales, Fabaceae. The record is from the annotation of a GenBank genome assembly.